Molecule: long non-coding RNA, 432 nt
Organism: Arvicola amphibius (Eurasian water vole)
Lineage: Eukaryota; Metazoa; Chordata; Mammalia; Rodentia; Cricetidae
Exons: 3
Source: RefSeq, a predicted model, not a curated record
AGCCAAGAACUUGCUAUGUGGCCCAAGCCAGCCUCCAACUGCAGAUCCUCUGCUUCAGCUUCCGGAGAUCUCUGCUGUGCACCUCCAUGCCCAGCCCGUCCUUUGACAUAAAGGGUGGCACUUGUCCCCAGGUCAACACUCGCGUACCAUUUGUAUGCCGCUGGGAAGGGAGCCCAGUCGAGCAGUGAGCCACAACUGCAACCCAUGAUCAAUCUCCAGGGAGACUCAGAAGGAUCUUCAUUCAAAAUUAAAGAUCAAAACCAGUUCAACAUGAGAGCAAGUCUCACACACACACACUUCCACAAACAUGCCUACCAUUUGAAUAAUUCUCAACACGUUUUCACAUGAGAUUUUACCUGCAGUUUCCCAGAUUUACUUUGAAUUUUAUCAGGGUCCUUUUCCUCCUUUAUUAAAUGAGUUCUGUUAAAUGUA